Long non-coding RNA from Malaclemys terrapin pileata, 401 nucleotides. RefSeq lists it as uncharacterized. Lineage: Eukaryota; Metazoa; Chordata; Testudines; Emydidae. The record is from RefSeq and is a predicted model, not a curated record. The transcript has 3 exons.
CUCUCUCGCCCUGGAGCAGAAUCUGGGACACAGCCUAGAGCUGCGCAGGUGUUUAGCAGGAAGUCCAUCUGCUCAUGCACCUGAGACCGAGACUUGCCCUGGAGCAGCCAGUCGUUGAGGUCCUGCAUUAUAGACUGGGACUCCACCGACAGCCCUGACAGGUAAAGCCAGGAUGCCCGCCUCAUGAAGAUAGCCGUGACCAUCGAACAAGCUGCCGUGUCAGCUGCGUCUGAGGCGGCCUGGAGAGCUGCUUUCGCUACCGCUGUACCCUCGUCAAGCAGCGCUUUGAACUCCUUCCUGUCUUGCUCUUGGAGGGAGGGCUCGAAUUUUGGCAAAGAGCCCCACAAGUUAAAGUCAAAGCGACUCAGGAGGGCUUGGUGGUUUGCCACCCUGAGUUGGAA